RNAcentral lists this ribosomal RNA (465 nucleotides) under uncultured bacterium. Its description in RNAcentral is "partial 16S ribosomal RNA". It matches the Rfam family "Bacterial small subunit ribosomal RNA", at positions 339 to 795 of the family's 1533-position model. The record is from RNAcentral.
CUACGGGCGGCUGCAGUGAGGAAUAUUGCGCAAUGGGGGAAACCCUGACGCAGCGACGCCGCGUGGAUGAUGAGGGCCUUAGGGUCGUAAAAUCCUGUCAGGUGGGAAGAAGUGGAUAUAGAUUAAUACUCUAUUUCUUUGACGGUACCACCAAAGGAAGCACCGGCUAACUCCGUGCCAGCAGCCGCGGUAAUACGGAGGGUGCAAACGUUGUUCGGAAUUACUGGGCGUAAAGCGCGCGUAGGCGGUUUGUUAAGUCAGAUGUGAGAGUCCAUGGCUCAACGAUGGAAGUGCAUUUGAAACUGGCAGACUUGAGUACGGGAGGGGGUGAUGGAAUUCCCGGUGUAGAGGUGAUAUUGGUAGAUAUCGGGAGGAAUACCGGUGGCGAAGGCGAUCACCUGGCCAGAUACUGACGCUGAGGUGCGAAAGCGUGGGGAGCAAACAGGAUUAGAUACCCGGGUAGUC